Molecule: long non-coding RNA, 1832 nt
Organism: Homo sapiens (human)
Lineage: Eukaryota; Metazoa; Chordata; Mammalia; Primates; Hominidae
Product: long intergenic non-protein coding RNA 2043
Source: Ensembl
AUCUGGGUGAGCAGGCAGCGGACAAGUGACGUCUCCCGGCCUGCUGCCCCAGGCCCCCCACAAGCCGCGUUCUGGGGCCGUGGCCUCCCCAGAGCAGAUCAGUGGGGGCUGUGUGAGCAACACUGGGGGCAGCUGGGCAGCGCCUCCCUGGAGGCCCCUCUGAAAUCCCGCCGGAUGCUGGCAGGCUCCAAGGGGGCUGGACACCAUCUUCUCAGGGCCCUGCAGGGAAGCGUGGAAAGGCGGCACAGGGCUGGACCCAGAGGAGCUCUCAGAUGCUGGACUGGACUGUUUCAGGGGUCAUCUAGCCCAUUCCCCGCCUCCAGGCGAGGAUUUGCUUGAGCCUGGAAAGAUGAAGGAUCCUCCCAGUGCCGUCAAGCCCCGGAUUCCACCUCCCUGUAGGUGGACUGCCAGCGCAGGCCCUGACAACGCAGAGAAAGACACAGGACCCAGCUGGGCCAGUGACAGCAGGAGCUCCUGGUGCCACAGGAAUGGAAACUGUGACUCAUAAUAGCCAGCUAGUCAAUGAUUAUUCCCCCCAGUCCCUGGCGCAUCAAGAUUUGCUGUGCUCAAUGGUGCCCAGACUGGAGUACAGUGGCGUGAUCUCGGCUCGCUACAACCUCCACCUCCCAGCCACCUGCCUUGGCCUCCCAAAGUGCCGAGAUUGCAGCUUCUGCCUGGCUGCCACCCCGUCUGGGAAGUGAGGAGCGUCUCUGCCUGGCCGCCCAUCGUCUGGGAUGUGAGGAGCCCCUCUGCCUGGCUGCCCAGUCUGGGAAGUGAGGAGCGUCUCUGCCCAGCCGCCAUCCCAUCUAGGAAGGGAGGAGCGUCUCUGCCCAGCUGCCCAUCGUCUGAGAUGUGGGGAGCGCCUCUGCCCCGCCGCCCCGUCUGGGAUGUGAGGAGCGCCUCUGCCCGGCCGCGACCCUGUCUGGGAGGUGAGGAGCGUCUCCACCUGGCAGCCACCCCGUCCGGGAGGGAGGUGGGGGUCAGCCCCCACCAGGCCAGCCGCCCCGUCCGGGAGGGAGGUGGGGGGGUCAGCCCCCCGCCCGGCCAGCCGCCCCGUCUGGGAGGGAGGUGGGGGGGUCAGCCCCCCACCCGGCCAGCCGCCCCGUCCGGGAGGUGAGGGGCGCCUCUGCCCGGCCGCCCCUACUGGGAAGUGAGGAGCCCCUCUGCCCGGCCAGCCGCCCUGUCCGGGAGGGAGGUUGGGGUGGGGGGGUCAGCCCUCCGCCCGGCCUGCCGCCCCGUCCGGGAGGUGAGGGGCGCCUCUGCCCGGCCACCCCUACUGGGAAGUGAGGAGCCCCUCUGCCCGGCCACCACCCCGUCUGGGAGGUGUGCCCAGCGGCUCAUUGAGAACGGGCCAUGAUGACAGUGGCGGUUUUGUGGAAUAGAAAGGGGGAAAAGGUGGGGAAAAGAUUGAGAAAUCAGAUGGUUGCCGUGUCUGUCUAGAAAGAAGUAGACAUGGGAGACUUUUCAUUUUGUUCUGUACUAAGAAAAAUUCUUCUGCCUUGGGAUCCUGUUGAUCUGUGACCUUACCCCCAACCCUGUGCUCUCUGAAACAUGUGCUGUAUCCACUCAGGGUUGAAUGGAUUAAGGGCGGUGCAAGAUGUGCUUUGUUAGACAGAUGCUUGAAGGCAGCAUGCUCGUUAAGAGUCAUCACCACUCCCUAAUCUCAAGUACCCAGGGACACAAACACUGCGGAAGGCCGCAGGGUCCUCUGCCUAGGAAAACCAGAGACCUUUGUUCACUUGUUUAUCUGCUGACCUUCCCUCCACUAUUGUCCUAUGACCCUGCCAAAUCCCCCUCUGCGAGAAACACCCAAGAAUGAUCAAUAAAAAAUG